UUUAGGGUGGAGAGAUGUGGUGUUCAGGAUGAUCAGAUGUGGUGUUCAGGGAUGAGAGAUGUGGUGUUCAGGAUGAUCAGAUGUGGUGUUCAGGGUGGAGAGAUGUGGUGUUCAGGAUGGAGAGAUGUGGUGUUCAGGGUGGGGAGAUGUGGUGUUCAGGAUGAGAGAUGUGGUGUUCAGGAUGAUCAGAUGUGGUGUUCAGGGUGGAGAGAUGUGGAGUUCAGGAUGGAGAGAUGUGGUGUUCAGGAUGGAGAGAUGUGGUGUUUUUAGUGAAUGGUGGUGUUUGCUGGUGCAUGUACAAGAAUUGUGGUGUUUAUUUAUUUGUUUGGUUUUUAAGCGAAUGUUGUUGUUGGUACAUUUUGGAGAAUGUUUUUAGAGAAAGUCGGUGUUUGUUGGUACAUUUUGGAGAUUUUUUUAGAGAAUGCUGGUGGGUAUUUGGGUUUUAGAGAGCAGAAAACAGGAGGUCUUUGUAGAAAGAGCAAGAAUGGAGGCAAGGCCACCUCUGAGCAGUGUGUGUGUGUGUGUGUGUGUGUGUGUGUGUGUGUGUGUGUGUGUGUGUGUGUAUGCAGGAGGGUAAAAGUCGCUUUGAGCAGGAGAUUAUUGGUGCGCCACAAUUUACAAGAGAUGUGCCGUCAUUAGUUGUGUAGAACCAAACCACUGGGUAAAUCUGCCAUGAAAUACAAGACUGGAGCUGUAAAACCAGAGCAUGUGCAUCAAACUCGAACCAGAUGAGGAACACUGAAGGACACUGUGUGUGUAUGUGUGUGUGUGUGUGUGUGUCUGUCUGUCUGUGAAAGUGAAAAGCAAGAACAAGAAUGAGAGAGGGUUGCGUGUAAUUACAGCAUAAGUGUAUGUGUAUAAGUGUGUGUGUGUGUGUGUGUGUAUGUGUAUGUGUGUGUGUGUUACACUCUAUAAAAUAAUGGCUCUCAGAAGCACCCACAGGCCCACACGGAAACACUCGCCAAAAACAGCAGAAACAACAUAGUCUCUGGCUGAAGGCCACUGGUCCUGUGGGAUUAUGGGAUUGUGGAGGACACCCAUCAAACUGCCCCACCACACACACACACACACACACACACACACACACACCCCGUCAUGCAUACUCAUGUAUAACUCCUUUCAUACCACAGGAACUUUUUCAGGAUCUCAUGAACUUUUCCACCAGUUUUUGUUUCCUGUUCAGACACUGAUUUUAUUUGUAUUUUUUAAAUUUUAUUUCUGGUACUUUUCAUCCCUUGUGGGCGGAGCUUACAUCACUGAACAUCACUGAUAGGUCCAAAUCCAACUUCAGAGAACAAUUCUAAGAAGCCAACAGUGCAAAACAGCAUAUUCAUAAAAAUGUUGCUUUAUUUGUUUUUGAUUUUUCAAUAUAUACUGUGGGUUCUUCAGGAUAUUGUUGGGUUCCUGUGCUUGUUCUCAGUUUCUCUGUAGGUAAGUUGGUUCUCCAUUGUAUUGUUGGGUUCUACACAUAUAUCAUUGGGUUCUCCAGUACAUCACUGGGUUCUCAAGCAUGCUGUGUGGUUGUCCAGUAUAUCAAUGGUUUCCCAAAUGUGUUAUUUGAGUUGCCUAGUAUAUAAUUGGAAUCUCCUGUAUGUCACUGGGUUCUCCCAUAAAUCAUUGUAAUUGACAGAAUAUCACUGGUUCUCCAAAAUAUCACUGGCUUCCUAAUGACAUAAUUGAGUCAUUGGGUUUUCCAGUAUGGCACUGGGUUUCACAGUAUAGCAUUUGGGUUCUUCUGCAUUACCUUACAUUCCACAGUUAUCAGUUAUCUAGUUUGUUACUCGGUUCUCCAGUACAUCAUCCAUUACAUAUCAUUGGGUUGUCCUGAAAUGCUUUUGGUUCCUCACCAUUGGAUUUCUAUACAUAUUAUUGGGUUCUCCAGUAUACCAUUGGGUUUCUAUACAUAUUAUUGGGUUCUCCAGAGUACAAUUGCGUUUCUAUACAUAUUAUUGGGUUCUCCAGAAUACCAUUGGGUUUCUAUACAUAUUAUUGUGUUCUCCAGUAUAUCACUGGGUUUCUAUACAUAUUAUUGGGUUCUCCAGUAUAUCAUUGGGUUUCAAUACAUAUUAUUGGGUUCUCCAGAAUAUCAUUGGGUUUCUAUACAUAUUAAUGGGUUCUCCAGAAUAUCAUUGGGUUUCUAUACAUAUUAUUGGGUUCUCCAGAAUAUCAUUGUGUUUCUAUACAUAUUAUUGGGUUCUCCAGUAUACCAUUGGGUUUCUGAGCAUAUUAUUAGUUUCUCCAGUAUAACACUGGCUUUCCCAGUUCUCUUGCAUUACGAUGCAUUCUCCAGUUUUCCGGUAUGUUACUCGGUUCUCCAGUAAAUGUUUGGUUUCUGCAUUAUAUUAUUGAGUUCUCUGGCAUGUCCCUGAAGUUCUGUUGUGGUUCUGGUGUCUUGUUUCUGCUCCUCGGAAAAGGACAAGUGUGUUUUCUCUCCCUCUCAGCGAGACCACUUAUUUCCAGCCGGUGGUUCUUGUGUAACCUGUCAUUUGAUCGUUUUCAGGGCCUUGAGAGGUUUAAGAUCUUGUGCAGGACUAGCUGUGUUCUCGCUCUCUCUCUCUCUCUCUCUCUCUCUCUUUCUGUCUCUCUCUCUCUCUCUCUCUCUCUCUCUCUCUCUCUUUCUGUCUCUCUCUCUCUCUCUCUCUCUCUCUCUCUCUCUCUCUCACAUACACACACACAUGGAUAUCUGCAGGAUGUUGAUGAACCAGAUGCCACACAGAGUUCACUUCUCACACAUAUCUUUGGGUUCUCCUGCUUUCCCCUCAGUGUGUCAGUACAUAUUGUUUGGUUCUUCAGCACAACAUUUUAUUAUCUUAUCUAUGAUUGUGUUCUUUAGUGUAUCUUCAGUGAAUUCUGCUGUAUUUCUUGGGUUCUCCAUUAUCUCUGUAUUCUUUAGUGUAUCAUUAGAUUCUACAGUUUAUCAAUGGGUUAUCUUGCGUAUUCUUGGGUUUCUCUGUAUCUAAUUGGGUUCUCUGUCUUUUCCUUAAUUCCCCUAGUGUAUAGUAUAUUGUUGGGUUCUACCACAUAGGCACAAGGCUAUUUCAUUUUUUUGGGUUUCGUUUCCUUUACCUUACUGAAUUCUUCAGUAUACUGUUGGGUUCUACAAUGUAUUCAUUGUGUUAUCUGGUAUAUUGUUGGGCUUAUAUAUAUAUAUAUA
Ictalurus punctatus (channel catfish) is the source of this 3154-nucleotide long non-coding RNA. NCBI's taxonomy places the organism in Eukaryota, Metazoa, Chordata, Actinopteri, Siluriformes, Ictaluridae. The record is from Ensembl.